CGAGACGUGAAAUCUCGCACCAAUCUGAUCUCCACCUCACAGUCUCUCUCUCUCUCUUUCGCUUUUCCACUGCAAGUCCCUCACCGUCAAUCCAAUGUCCCAACUCACAGAUUCUCCCGAUAUUCUCUCCUCCGUCGCCAUUGGCUAAUCGUUUUUUUUUUCUCUUAAAUUUUCAACUCCUCAAGUCUCCGCCUCUCUGCAGACUUCAACCCCCACCACUGCUUCCUCUUCUUCAACCUUCAACGUCGCCAUUUAGGGUUUUCCCAUGGCAAUUUCGUAAUUUCAUUCUCAAUGGCGGCCACUUCUAGCGGUUUAUCCGCUCACUUCCAUUUCAAGCUCACUCGCCUCCACAUUUCUCCGUUGCAUACUACUGUCUAUGGAUUGCAGCUCAGAAAGAAGAAGAAGAGGAGGACCGUCGGCGUCAGUCCAAUCACUUGCUGCAGCUCCGACUCUGUUGUUCCAAUUAGGAGCAUCGAGAAAAAUGAAGACAAGUCCUCUCAUAGAGUCCGUGUCCAGGCCACUCCAGCAUUGCCUUUUGCUUCUCCUCAGUACGUCGCCGUUUUGACACUCCUCCUUGUUGAUUGUUGAUCUUCCAUUGAAGCUGCCAUAUCUAUUUUAAUUUUGAAAUAAAUAAAUAAAAUUGCCUCCUUUUAAACUUUCAAAGGUAAAACUGGGAGUGAAAAGUGAUGAUAAAUGGGGAUUUUUCGAAAGUUCAAUUUUGUAUGGAAAGUUUCUUCUAAAUUUUACAUAAUUGGUGGUUUUGUGCUCAUAAUUUUUUAGCUAAAUUCAUCACAUUAGCUAUUGAUAUUGUUAGCUUACAUCUGUUUCAUUCUUCCAGGGUGUGUAAAAUAUGAGUAUCAGUUCUUAGCUGAGUAUUUGAAUGGCAUUCAUUGAGAUAGAAUUUCUCUUAUCAUGAUGAAAGAGUCCACAGUUGAUCUCUGAUUAACCAAGUAAAAAAAAUAUGCUCAGUUUGGCGUAUAUAAAAGUAUUAGCAUUAUUAUGUUAAAUCAAAGGAUUUGAGUUUCAAAUACACAUUCAGCAAAUAACUAAGAUGAUUCUGGAGGUAUGAGAGUAUAUAUAUUGAUUAUGUACUGGUAGAUUUAUGUGUUUAUUCCUUUAGGCUGUGAUGGAGAUGCUCCCAAGUGUUCUGUUAAUGAAUAAACUUUUAACAUAUGUCAACUUUCCUUCAUCUAGUGGGACUGGGCAAGUUUCUUUCAAUUUAACUGCUUCUCUCUAUCACCCAAGCAGCAUAAACUCUCAAAGUUUGUGUUUUUACUUGUAAUUAUUGUAGGUCUCGAUUUGUUUCAAAACAAGAAAAGUUUUCUCCUCGUUGUACCCCAAGAAGUUCUGGUCCACAGUCCAGAGACACCCCACCAAAAAGAGACACUGGUAUUGCUAAUGAAAAGGACUGGGGCAUCAGCUUGUUGAAUGAAAAUGUUAAUGAAUCUGGCACUAAUGAAGAUGGUGGUACUUGGUACCGGGAAAGUGGAGAAGACAUGGGUGAAAAUGGGUACAGAUGUAGAUGGACAAGAAUGGGCGGACGAUCACAUGAUGAUACCUCAGAAUGGAAAGAAACGUGGUGGGAGAAAAGUGACUGGACUGGAUACAAAGAGCUAGGUGUGGAGAAAUCUGGAAGGAAUGCUGAGGGGGAUUCAUGGUGGGAGACCUGGCAAGAGGUGCUCCAUCAAGAUGAAUGGAGUAAUCUAGCAAGGAUAGAGAGGAGUGCACAGAAACAAGCGAAAUCAGGGACUGAAAAUGCUGGAUGGUAUGAGAAAUGGUGGGAGAAAUAUGAUGCUAAAGGCUGGACUGAGAAGGGGGCACAUAAGUAUGGAAGACUAAAUGAGCAGUCAUGGUGGGAGAAGUGGGGAGAGCAUUACGAUGGAAGAGGAUCUGUUCUCAAAUGGUUUUCUCUUUUUAUCAUCAUAUCUUUUGUUGGAGUUAAAUAUGCUUGGAGCUAGUUUUUGAUGUUCUCAUCUUUGACAUGCUCUAAUACAAUUGACUAUAGAAAGUAAUCAUAAUCUGCACAUAUCUUCAGAACUCAAGAUCUCAUGUUGUAUGGUAUCUGGCUCAUUGUUAGUAACACUGAGCAAUAAGCUAUCAUAAAUACGGAAGGCAUCAAUAAUUUAGAAGCUGAACUACGAUUCUGUUCAUAUAGGAACAGAGCUUCUAAUGAAUAGAUAACCUGUGUUAUAUCCACAACAAUGAUUUAUUAAAGUAUUACUUUUUUAUAUGUUAGUCUGCUUGGGCAAUAAUUUUAGAAUUACAGCAAGUUCUUUUCAUUUUUCUCCAAGUAGUCAGAACAUACCAACUGGAAGAACUUUCAAGUAAUUUCACUGAGUUUUCUGUUUUCAUUCCUCAGGACAGAUAAAUGGGCUGAGACUGACUUGGGAACCAAAUGGGGUGAUAAGUGGGAAGAGAAGUUCUUUGCUGGCAUAGGUUCGCGCCAGGGUGAGACGUGGCAUGUUUCUUCAAUUGGCAACCGUAAGUUUAAUAUGUAUUUAUUCAGCCGAGAUACCUUGUCUUUAUAAAUUUUAAAUGCUGUAUGCCAUUGAACGUUUCCCUUGAUUUUAUCCACAUCAUCAAUUCUUUGUUAAAUUUGGGCUACCAUUUUCAUUUGUAAGAUUUGUUUUAGUUAGCUCUUCUUUGCAUAUCUUUGUACAUGCUUUCUAGGUAAAUUUUUCUAAUGGUCAUUGUUAUUUGUUUUGAUUUGUGUUGUUUUAUUUUGUUUCAAAGAAAGCACUAUAGCAAAUUUCUAGUGAUAAACCUACUGGAGUUUUGAUAACAUUCAAGUUAGGGCUCUUUUGUAAAGUACAAAAUUAAGUGCUUUUUUUUCCUCACCAUCAAUUUGGUUUUUUAUGUUAUGAUAUGCUUGCUUGUUUCUAUGUCAUGUUAGAUUUGGGGCUGAUUAUGUUGUUUUUGGUCUACACAUCAUUUUGGUUUUGACUGCAUUCAGCCAUUUUAGUAAGAAAAGAAAAAUAAUCAUAAAGUUAGACAAGAUGUGUUUAUCCAUUUGGUAAGAAAUUAAUUUGCAAAGUUAUUCAUCGACUAUUACAAUUAACUUUCCUGGUUCUUGUACUCUGCUAGAAUUUUCAUGGUAGUUGUGAAUGUUAUUGAUGGGAUACUGAACUUGCAUAGUUAAUUAUCAACAAUAUCCCCAUAAUUUCACCUUUAGAAGUUGUUUUCUGACUUAUAACUUUUUUAAUGUGACUGUCAUGGACAUGAUGUAGUCUAGCAUUUAACUCAUUUAUUAUUUGUAGAACGGAGACUUAAUGCCAAGAUUCUCAUUUUCUGAGGAGACAAUUGAACUUAAUCCAUGAAUUGUUCUUGACCCAAAAAAUGAAUUUCUUUUCUUGUUCUUCCGUUCUUUAAGCUGCUCACGUUUGGCUUUACUUGUGUCCCUUGUGAAUUUUAUGUGCCAAACUCUCAUGAUUACAUUGUUUUUAGGUUGGUCAAGGACAUGGGGAGAGGAACAUUUUGGAAAUGGGUAUGGAACUUUAUCCAUAAAAAGAUUGUGUUUCCAUUUUAAUGACAAAAUUAGUUUUUUUUUCCCACCUGUGUAAAUGUGACAUAAAAGUUUGGUACCGGUAUUACUAUAUGAAAUUUUACAUACUGUAUUAGUAUGCCUUCCUUCUGUAUUCCAGUAAAGUCCACAAAUAUGGAAGGAGCACAACAGGUGAGAGCUGGGAUAUUGUUGUGGACGAUGAAACCUAUUACGAGUAAGAAAUUGCUUCUCUUAGUUGCUAACUGAGCUUAUAUACAUAAUUAUGGGGGUUGGAUAAAAAUAUAAGAUUCUAUUUCUUUUGGAUUGUAGUAAGAUUAAUUUAACUGACACAGUCUGUAUUUAAUGAAGGGCUCAACCUCAUUACGGAUGGGCUGAUGUUGUGGGUGAUUCAACCCAGUUGCUAUCAAUUAAACCUACGGAGAGACCACCCGGAGUCUACCCAAAUCUUGAUUUU
RNAcentral lists this unclassified non-coding RNA (3956 nucleotides) under Hevea brasiliensis (rubber tree). Lineage: Eukaryota; Viridiplantae; Streptophyta; Magnoliopsida; Malpighiales; Euphorbiaceae. The record is from RNAcentral.